This 916-nucleotide ribosomal RNA is filed under the name uncultured archaeon. RNAcentral describes it as "SSU rRNA". It matches the Rfam family "Archaeal small subunit ribosomal RNA", at positions 1 to 922 of the family's 1478-position model. The record is from RNAcentral.
UUUCCGGUUGAUCCCGCCGGACCUGACUGCUAUCGGAUUGAUACUAAGCCAUGCGAGUCUUUGCAGUAAUGCAAGGCAUACGGCUCAGUAACACGUAGUCAACCUACCCUAUGGACGAGAAUAAUCUCGGGAAACUGAGCAUAAUUCUUGAUAGAUCAUAAUGCCUGGAAUGGUUUAUGGUUAAAAUGAUUCGUCGCCAUAGGAUGGGACUGCGGCCUAUCAGCUUGUUGGUGAGGUAAUGGCCCACCAAGGCGAUUACAGGUACGGGCUCUGAGAGGAGAAGCCCGGAGAUGGGUACUGAGACACGGACCCAGGCCCUAUGGGGCGCAGCAGGCGAGAAAACUUUGCAAUGUGCGAAAGCACGACAAGGUUAAUCCGAGUGAUUUCUGCUAAAGAAAUCUUUUGCCAGUCGUAAAACCGCUGGUGAAUAAGGGGUGGGCAAGUUCUGGUGUCAGCCGCCGCGGUAAAACCAGCACCUCAAGUGGUCAGGAUGAUUAUUGGGCCUAAAGCAUCCGUAGCCUGCUUUGUAAGUUUUCGGUUAAAUCCAUGUGCUCAACGCAUGGGCUGCCGAAAAUACUGCAUAGCUAGGGAGUGGGAGAGGUAGACGGUACUCAGUAGGUAGGGGUAAAAUCCUUUGAUCUAUUGAUGACCACCUGUGGCGAAGGCGGUCUACCAGAACACGUUCGACGGUGAGGGAUGAAAGCUGGGGGAGCAAACCGGAUUAGAUACCCGGGUAGUCCCAGCUGUAAACGAUGCAGACUCGAUGAUGCAUUGGCAUAAUAGCCAUUGCAGUGUCGCAGGGAAGCCGUUAAGUCUGCCGCCUGGGAAGUACGUACGCAAGUAUGAAACUUAAAGGAAUUGGCGGGGGAGCACCACAAGGGGUGAAGCCUGCGGUUCAAUUGGAGUCAACGCCGGG